GACGAACGCUGGCGGCGUGCUUAACACAUGCAAGUCGAGCGAGAAAGCGGCUUCGGCCGUGAGUACAGCGGCGAACGGGUGAGUAACACGUGGGCAACCUGCCCCAGAGAUUGGGAUAACGUCCCGAAAGGGACGCUAAUACCGAAUAAAGCGUGACCUGCCAAGUGGGUCACGCCAAAUGGUAGCCUCGGCCUCUGCCCUGGGAUGGGCCCGCGCCGGAUUAGCUUGUUGGUGGGGGAAGGGCCUACCAAGGCGACGAUCCGUAGCUGGUCUGAGAGGACGAUCAGCCACACUGGGACUGAGACACGGCCCAGACUCCUACGGGAGGCAGCAGUGGGGAAUCUUGCGCAAUGGGCGAAAGCCUGACGCAGCAACGCCGCGUGAGCGAAGACGGCCUUCGGGUUGUAAAGCUCUGUCAGGAGGGACGAAGCCACUCGGGUGAAUAGCCCAGAGGGUGACGGUACCUCCAGAGGAAGCCCCGGCUAACUACGUGCCAGCCGCCGCAGUAA
RNAcentral lists this ribosomal RNA (509 nucleotides) under uncultured bacterium. Its description in RNAcentral is "partial 16S ribosomal RNA". It matches the Rfam family "Bacterial small subunit ribosomal RNA", at positions 28 to 523 of the family's 1533-position model. The record is from RNAcentral.